RNAcentral lists this transfer-messenger RNA (361 nucleotides) under Proteobacteria bacterium SW_6_67_9. It matches the Rfam family "transfer-messenger RNA". Rfam says of the family: Bacterial tmRNA, also known as 10Sa RNA or SsrA, is named for its dual tRNA and mRNA-like properties. Its role is to liberate the mRNA from a stalled ribosome. The record is from RNAcentral. Lineage: Bacteria; Pseudomonadati; Pseudomonadota.
GGGGGCGAUCUGGCUUCGACGUGGAUCGCGAAACCUUCAGGUGCAUGCCGGGGCUGCGGUGACCCCGUUAUGAACGCCGCACUAAAGAUAGUUGCCAACGACGACAACUACGCACUCGCGGCCUAAACAGCCGUGAGCGUCGGAUUUCGGCUGGCCCGUGGGCCGAUUCUCCGGCGUCGACUCACACGGGCUCGCGGUGAGGCUCCCCCCGGGCCGAGCCGUUAAACCCUAUAGGGGGUCGUUGUCCGGCUUGCCUGCCCGUCGGCUGCCGGAUGGCUAAACGCCAAUAGACGCGGCUAAGCAUGUAGAGCCGAAGGCGGAGGAUCCGCGGACGGGGGUUCGAUUCCCCCCGCCUCCACCA